Molecule: long non-coding RNA, 308 nt
Filed under: Jatropha curcas
Lineage: Eukaryota; Viridiplantae; Streptophyta; Magnoliopsida; Malpighiales; Euphorbiaceae
Description: long non-coding RNA (JCUR_LNC002832)
Source: RNAcentral
AAAGUACCUUUGAAUUUCAUGGUUUUUGGUUUAGAGAUGCCGCCAAUUGAGUUAAGAGAAAGCUCUAUAUUGGAGAAGUGAGCUUCAUCCCAGGUGACAGGAGGAUCAGUCUCAACGGUGACAUCCAUUUCGGCCAUCUGGCCUUCAUUCUCUGCGGAGAGGAUCAGUCUCAACGGUGACAUCCAUUUCGGCCAUCUGGCCUUCAUUCUCUGCGGGCUCGUCUUCGCUAGCAAUUAGGGCACGAAGGGCGCGAUUGGGGCAUUCGUGAAGGGGUGAGUAAGGCUGUUUGCACUUAAAGCAAAGGCCCC